This 376-nucleotide ribosomal RNA is filed under the name uncultured bacterium. RNAcentral describes it as "bacterial SSU rRNA". It matches the Rfam family "Bacterial small subunit ribosomal RNA", at positions 523 to 897 of the family's 1533-position model. The record is from RNAcentral.
AUACGUAGGUGGCGAGCGUUGUCCGGAUUUACUGGGUGUAAAGGGCGAGUAGGCGGAUGAGCAAGUCAGACGUGAAAUACCGGGGCUUAACCCCGGGGCUGCAUUUGAAACUGCUUAUCUUGAGUGAUGGAGAGGCAGGCGGAAUUCCCGGUGUAGCGGUGGAAUGCGUAGAUAUCGGGAGGAACACCAGUGGCGAAGGCGGCCUGCUGGACAUUAACUGACGCUGAUGAGCGAAAGCGUGGGGAGCAAACAGGAUUAGAUACCCUGGUAGUCCACGCUGUAAACGAUGGAUACUAGGUGUGGGAGGUAUGGACCCCUUCCGUGCCGGAGUUAACACAAUAAGUAUCCCACCUGGGGAGUACGGCCGCAAGGUUGA